RNAcentral lists this ribosomal RNA (463 nucleotides) under uncultured bacterium. RNAcentral's name for it is "partial 16S ribosomal RNA". It matches the Rfam family "Bacterial small subunit ribosomal RNA", at positions 28 to 507 of the family's 1533-position model. The record is from RNAcentral.
GACGAACGCUGGCGGCGUGCUUAACACAUGCAAGUCGAACGGUGAACCUCUUCGGAGGGGAUCAGUGGCGAACGGGUGAGUAACACGUGGGCAACCUGCCCCCGGCUCUGGGAUAACUCCAAGAAAUUGGGGCUAAUACCGGAUGUUCACCGCUUCCCGCAUGGGUGGUGGUGGAAAGGGUUUCCGGCUGGGGAUGGGCCCGCGGCCUAUCAGCUUGUUGGUGGGGUAGUGGCCUACCAAGGCGACGACGGGUAGCCGGCCUGAGAGGGUGACCGGCCACACUGGGACUGAGACACGGCCCAGACUCCUACGGGAGGCAGCAGUGGGGAAUAUUGCGCAAUGGGCGGAAGCCUGACGCAGCGACGCCGCGUGGGGGAUGACGGCCUUCGGGUUGUAAACCUCUUUCAGCAGGGACGUAGCGCAAGUGACGGUACCUGCAGAAGAAGCACCGGCCAACUACGUG